RNAcentral lists this ribosomal RNA (272 nucleotides) under Mycoplasmopsis columbinasalis. RNAcentral's name for it is "Mycoplasma columbinasale partial 16S ribosomal RNA". It matches the Rfam family "Bacterial small subunit ribosomal RNA", at positions 763 to 1046 of the family's 1533-position model. The record is from RNAcentral. Lineage: Bacteria; Bacillati; Mycoplasmatota; Mycoplasmoidales; Metamycoplasmataceae.
UGGGAGCAAACCAGAUUAGAUACCCUGGUAGUCGCCGCCCUAAACGAUGAUCAUUAGCUGAUGGAAAAUUCAUCGGCGCAGCUAACGCAUUAAAUGAUCCGCCUGAGUAGUACGUUCGCAAGAAUAAAACUUAAAGGAAUUGACGGGGAUCCGCACAAGCGGUGGAGCAUGUGGUUUAAUUUGACGAUACGCGUAGAACCUUACCCACUCUUGACAUCUUCCGCAACGCUAUAGAGAUAUAGUUGAGGUUAACAGAGUGACAGAUGGUGCAA